AUCGACAAUCCACGAUAAAUUCAACUUCAAUUAUAAAUUCAUAUACCGCCAUCUUAAGAAUUAAUUUUAAUAUAUUUCUCUAAAAAAUAAAUAAAAAGUUAGGUCAAGGUGUGAUUAAUAUCGAAGAACGAGAUGAAUUACACUAAAUAUAAUUACAAGAUUAUAAGUAAAUAUAUUUAUAUAAAUAAGAAUUUGAAAGUAAUAUUAAAACAAUAUUAUAAUAUGAUAUAAAAAAUAAAUGUGCACACAUCGCCC
This 255-nucleotide ribosomal RNA is filed under the name Tonsilla defossa. RNAcentral describes it as "partial 12S ribosomal RNA". Lineage: Eukaryota; Metazoa; Arthropoda; Arachnida; Araneae; Agelenidae. The record is from RNAcentral.